GUUUAUAAUGACUGCAUUUAUCUGGCCGUCCAGGGCGCUGCGCGGCGCGAAAGGAUGGAUUUACGCUUGCACAACUGUCAGAAAACCCAAAACAUUUAAAUUCUUUGAAGAUAGAAAGCCACUAAAGCCAUUUGAGCAUCCUCCCCUUCAAAUAGGUGUAUAAAUAAACAGCUGUCAGAUUUAGCAAACAGAUUCAGCAGAGCUCCAAGGGAGGGAACAAAGCCACUUUAUCUACAGUGUCCUCACAUGGAAGUCAUCACCCUGCCAGCUCAGCGCCUCACCUGACCACCACGGAAGGACAGAAAGGAGGAUGUGCAGCCAACAUGCAACCCACAGGCUUUAUGAAUCAAAGGCCAGCAUCUGGGCAUGGAUUAGAAGCCACUGCAGAUCCCAGCUCAUGGAUGCAACACACCUCCUGUGGGAACCACUAAUGUGAGCAUUUCCAUUUCACCUUGACCUUGAAACACAUGAGCAGUCUGAACACACAUGCUUAAGUAUAGCACCAGGGAUCCAGGGAACAAGCUGCCUCUGCUCUGCUUUACACCAGAUGAACUCUCUCUGCCUUGCUUGCUGCUGUGCCAGAAGAGUUUCAUGUUUCCAUCAUUGCAUUAGCGUUACAUACUGUCAUGGUUUUAGCUGGGAUAGAGUUAAUUUUCUUCACUCUAGCUGGUAUAGUGCUGUGCUUUGAAAUUAGCAUGGAAAAAAACCUGUUGAGAUAACACACAGAUGUUUAGGCUGUUGCUGGGUAGCGCUUGUACUAGUCAAGGACAUUUCUAGCUUCCCAUGCUCUGCCGGGUGCACAAGAAGCCGGGAGGGGAGGGGGCACAGCUAAGAGAGCGGAUUCAAACUGACCAACGGGAUAUUCCCUAUCAUGUAAUGUCAUGCCCAGUAUGUUACCUGGGAGGGGCUGGCCGGGGGGGAGCAGGGAGCAAUCGCGGCUCGGGGACGGGCAGCGUCGGUCGGCGGGUGGUGAGCAGUUGUAUCGUUUGUGUUUCCGUGGUUUUUUUUUUCCUUUUUUUUUUUUUCCUUUCCCUUCCUUUUCCAUUUUAUUGUAUUAACAUUAUUGUCAUUAUUGUCAUAAUCAUUGUUACUAUUAUUAUCAUUUUAUUGUAAUCAUUAAACUGUGCUUAUCUCAGCCCACAA
Phalacrocorax carbo (great cormorant) is the source of this 1143-nucleotide non-coding RNA. The record is from RefSeq and is a predicted model, not a curated record. NCBI's taxonomy places the organism in Eukaryota, Metazoa, Chordata, Aves, Suliformes, Phalacrocoracidae.